RNAcentral lists this ribosomal RNA (492 nucleotides) under uncultured bacterium. RNAcentral describes it as "partial 16S ribosomal RNA". It matches the Rfam family "Bacterial small subunit ribosomal RNA", at positions 29 to 507 of the family's 1533-position model. The record is from RNAcentral.
AGUGAACGCUGGCGGUAGGCCUAACACAUGCAAGUCGAACGGCAGCACAGUAAGAGCUUGCUCUUACGGGUGGCGAGUGGCGGACGGGAGAGGAAUACAUCGGAAUCUACUUUUUCGUGGGGGAUAACGUAGGGAAACUUACGCUAAUACCGCAUACGACCUACGGGUGAAAGCAGGGGAUCUUCGGACCUUGCGCGAUUGAAUGAGCCGAUGUCGGAUUAGCUAGUUGGCGGGGUAAAGGCCCACCAAGGCGACGAUCCGUAGCUGGUCUGAGAGGAUGAUCAGCCACACUGGAACUGAGACACGGUCCAGACUCCUACGGGAGGCAGCAGUGGGGAAUAUUGGACAAUGGGCGCAAGCCUGAUCCAGCCAUACCGCGUGGGUGAAGAAGGCCUUCGGGUUGUAAAGCCCUUUUGUUGGGAAAGAAAAGCAGCAGGUUAAUACCCCGCUGUUCUGACGGUACCCAAAGAAUAAGCACCGGCUAACUUCGUG